Molecule: microRNA precursor, 72 nt
Organism: Cercocebus atys (sooty mangabey)
Lineage: Eukaryota; Metazoa; Chordata; Mammalia; Primates; Cercopithecidae
Source: Ensembl
CCAGGCAAACAGGAAAAGCAGGGCCGCGGCUUCGGCUGCCACCCCAAAGGCCACAUUCUCCUGUGCACACAG